This 898-nucleotide ribosomal RNA is filed under the name Fusarium oxysporum. Its description in RNAcentral is "LSU rRNA". It matches the Rfam family "Eukaryotic large subunit ribosomal RNA", at positions 38 to 966 of the family's 3401-position model. The record is from RNAcentral. Lineage: Eukaryota; Fungi; Ascomycota; Sordariomycetes; Hypocreales; Nectriaceae.
GCAUAUCAAUAAGCGGAGGAAAAGAAACCAACAGGGAUUGCCCUAGUAACGGCGAGUGAAGCGGCAACAGCUCAAAUUUGAAAUCUGGCUCUCGGGCCCGAGUUGUAAUUUGUAGAGGAUACUUUUGAUGCGGUGCCUUCCGAGUUCCCUGGAACGGGACGCCAUAGAGGGUGAGAGCCCCGUCUGGUUGGAUGCCAAAUCUCUGUAAAGUUCCUUCAACGAGUCGAGUAGUUUGGGAAUGCUGCUCUAAAUGGGAGGUAUAUGUCUUCUAAAGCUAAAUACCGGCCAGAGACCGAUAGCGCACAAGUAGAGUGAUCGAAAGAUGAAAAGCACUUUGAAAAGAGAGUUAAAAAGUACGUGAAAUUGUUGAAAGGGAAGCGUUUAUGACCAGACUUGGGCUUGGUUAAUCAUCUGGGGUUCUCCCCAGUGCACUUUUCCAGUCCAGGCCAGCAUCAGUUUUCCCCGGGGGAUAAAGGCGGCGGGAAUGUGGCUCUCUUCGGGGAGUGUUAUAGCCCACCGUGUAAUACCCUGGGGGGGACUGAGGUUCGCGCAUCUGCAAGGAUGCUGGCGUAAUGGUCAUCAACGACCCGUCUUGAAACACGGACCAAGGAGUCGUCUUCGUAUGCGAGUGUUCGGGUGUCAAACCCCUACGCGUAAUGAAAGUGAACGCAGGUGAGAGCUUCGGCGCAUCAUCGACCGAUCCUGAUGUUCUCGGAUGGAUUUGAGUAAGAGCAUACGGGGCCGGACCCGAAAGAAGGUGAACUAUGCCUGUAUAGGGUGAAGCCAGAGGAAACUCUGGUGGAGGCUCGCAGCGGUUCUGACGUGCAAAUCGAUCGUCAAAUAUGGGCAUGGGGGCGAAAGACUAAUCGAACCUUCUAGUAGCUGGUUUCCGCCGAAG